Molecule: ribosomal RNA, 468 nt
Filed under: uncultured bacterium
Lineage: Bacteria
Description: partial 16S ribosomal RNA
Rfam family: Bacterial small subunit ribosomal RNA
Source: RNAcentral
GACGAACGCUGGCGGCGUGCUUAACACAUGCAAGUCGAACGGAAAGGCCCUGCUUUUGUGGGGUGCUCGAGUGGCGAACGGGUGAGUAACACGUGAGUAACCUGCCCUUGACCUUGGGAUAACUUCAGGAAACUGGGGCUAAUACCGCAUAGGAGCUCCUGCUGCAUGGUGGGGGUUGGAUAGUUUCGGCGGUUGGUGAUGGACUCGCGGCUUAUCAGCUUGUUGGUGGGGUAGUGGCUUACCAAGGCUUUGACGGGUAGCCGGCCUGAGCGGGUGACCGGCCACAUUGGGACUGAGAUACGGCACAGACUCCUACGGGAGGCAGCAGUGGGGAAUAGUGCACAAUGGGCGGAAGCCUGAUGCAGCAACGCCGCGUGCGGGAUGACGGCCUUCGGGUUGUAAACCGCUUUCGCCUGUGACGAAGCGUGAGUGACGGUAAUGGGUAAAGAAGCACCGGCUAACUACGUG